Pongo abelii (Sumatran orangutan) is the source of this 117-nucleotide unclassified non-coding RNA. It matches the Rfam family "Metazoan signal recognition particle RNA". From Rfam's summary of the family: The signal recognition particle (SRP) is a universally conserved ribonucleoprotein. The record is from Ensembl. NCBI's taxonomy places the organism in Eukaryota, Metazoa, Chordata, Mammalia, Primates, Hominidae.
GCUGGGCGCGGUGACUCACGCCUGUAAUCCCAGCAUUUUGGGAGGCUGAGGCGGGUGGAUCACCUGAGGUCAGGAGUUUGAGACCAGCCUGGCCAACAUGGUGAAACCCCGUCUCUA